Molecule: long non-coding RNA, 406 nt
Filed under: Harpegnathos saltator (Jerdon's jumping ant)
Lineage: Eukaryota; Metazoa; Arthropoda; Insecta; Hymenoptera; Formicidae
Description: uncharacterized LOC109504575
Source: RNAcentral
GUUUCAAAAUUCACUGCCAGUCACAGAUGUCUAUACUAUACUAAAUUGCUAACUUCGAUCUUUGACCUAUACAAGAGCUGUGUCCCGUCUAUUUUCCGGUUCGGCCAUGAAGACCGCCAAAACAUGGCGGCGGUGUGUGUUUGUAGUGCGUACGUGAGUAUCCGAUGCGUGUGUAAUAGUGCUGUACUGUAAGUAUGUGAUACCUGAUGUGUCUACACUGAUGUGUCGUAUCUACUGCUAUUUAUAUUAGUAAAACUGCAAAUAUAUAAACGAGAUAAUGCCAAGUACAUGUUGCAUUGUUAAUUGCAAUAAUACGAAUAAAAAAGGAUAUCACUUAUUUAAAUUUCCGAUAAAACGUCCAGAGAUUUUAAAAAAUGGAUUUGUGCAAUCGGAGGAAAUUUUACAC